GACGAACGCUGGCGGCGUGCUUAACACAUGCAAGUCGAACGGAAAGGCCCUGCUUUUGUGGGGUGCUCGAGUGGCGAACGGGUGAGUAACACGUGAGUAACCUGCCCUUGACUUUGGGAUAACUUCAGGAAACUGGGGCUAAUACCGGAUAGGAGCUCCUGCUGCAUGGUGGGGGUUGGAAAGUUUCGGCGGUUGGGGAUGGACUCGCGGCUUAUCAGCUUGUUGGUGGGGUAGUGGCUUACCAAGGCUUUGACGGGUAGCCGGCCUGAGAGGGUGACCGGCCACAUUGGGACUGAGAUACGGCCCAGACUCCUACGGGAGGCAGCAGUGGGGAAUAUUGCACAAUGGGCGGAAGCCUGAUGCAGCAACGCCGCGUGCGGGAUGACGGCCUUCGGGUUGUAAACCGCUUUCGCCUGUGACGAAGCGUGAGUGACGGUAAUGGGUAAAGAAGCACCGGCUAACUACGUGCCAGCAGCCGCGGUGAUACGUAGGGUGCGAGCGUUGUCCGGAUUUAUUGGGCGUAAAGGGCUCGUAGGUGGUUGAUCGCGUCGGAAGUGUAAUCUUGGGGCUUAACCCUGAGCGUGCUUUCGAUACGGGUUGACUUGAGGAAGGUAGGGGAGAAUGGAAUUCCUGGUGGAGCGGUGGAAUGCGCAGAUAUCAGGAGGAACACCAGUGGCGAAGGCGGUUCUCUGGGCCUUUCCUGACGCUGAGGAGCGAAAGCGUGGGGAGCGAACAGGCCUAGAUACCCUGGUAGUCCACGCUGUAAACGGUGGGUACUAGGUGUGGGGUCCAUUCCACGGGUUCCGUGCCGUAGCUAACGCUUUAAGUACCCCGCCUGGGGAGUACGGCCGCAAGGCUAAAACUCAAAGGAAUUGACGGGGCCCCGCACAAGCGGCGGAGCAUGCGGAUUAAUUCGAUGCAACGCGUAGAACCUUACCUGGGUUUGACAUGGAUCGGGAGUGCUCAGAGAUGGGUGUGCCUCUUUUGGGGUCGGUUCACAGGUGGUGCAUGGCUGUCGUCAGCUCGUGUCGUGAGAUGUUGGGUUAAGUCCCGCAACGAGCGCAACCCUUGUUCACUGUUGCCAGCACGUUAUGGUGGGGACUCAGUGGAGACCGCCGGGGUCAACUCGGAGGAAGGUGGGGAUGACGUCAAGUCAUCAUGCCCCUUAUGUCCAGGGCUUCACGCAUGCUACAAUGGCUGGUACAGAGAGUGGCGAGCCUGUGAGGGUGAGCGAAUCUCGGAAAGCCGGUCUCAGUUCGGAUUGGGGUCUGCAACUCGACCUCAUGAAGUCGGAGUCGCUAGUAAUCGCCGAUCAGCAAUGGCUGCGGUGAUACCGUCCCCGGGCU
This 1346-nucleotide ribosomal RNA is filed under the name uncultured bacterium. RNAcentral's name for it is "partial 16S ribosomal RNA". It matches the Rfam family "Bacterial small subunit ribosomal RNA", at positions 28 to 1381 of the family's 1533-position model. The record is from RNAcentral.